AUUGAACGCUGGCGGCAUGCCUUACACAUGCAAGUCGAACGGCAGCACGGGAGCAAUCCUGGUGGCGAGUGGCGAACGGGUGAGUAAAGUAUCGGAACGUGCCCAGUCGUGGGGGAUAACGUAGCGAAAGUUACGCUAAUACCGCAUACGAUCUAUGGAUGAAAGCGGGGGAUCGCAAGACCUCGCGCGAUUGGAGCGGCCGAUAUCAGAUUAGGUAGUUGGUGGGGUAAAGGCUCACCAAGCCGACGAUCUGUAGCUGGUCUGAGAGGACGACCAGCCACACUGGGACGGAGACGCGGCCCAGACGCCUACGGGAGGCAGCAGUGGGGAAUUUUGGACAAUGGGCGAAAGCCUGAUCCAGCCAUGCCGCGUGCAGGAUGAAGGCCUUCGGGUUGUAAACUGCUUUUGUACGGAACGAAAAGGUUUGGCCUAAUAAGCUGAGCUCAUGACGGUACCGUAAGAAUAAGCACCGGCUAACUACGUGCCAGCAGCCGCCGUAA
This 500-nucleotide ribosomal RNA is filed under the name uncultured bacterium. Its description in RNAcentral is "partial 16S ribosomal RNA". It matches the Rfam family "Bacterial small subunit ribosomal RNA", at positions 29 to 523 of the family's 1533-position model. The record is from RNAcentral.